GCGCCAGACUCCUACGGGAGGCAGCAGUGAGGAAUAUUGGUCAAUGGCCGAGAGGCUGAACCAGCCAAGUCGCGUGAGGGAUGACGGCCCUACGGGUUGUAAACCUCUUUUGUCGGGGAGCAAAGAGAGUCACGUGUGGCUCAUUGAGAGUACCCGAAGAAAAAGCAUCGGCUAACUCCGUGCCAGCAGCCGCGGUAAUACGGAGGAUCCGAGCGUUAUCCGGAUUUAUUGGGUUUAAAGGGAGCGUAGAUGGGUUGUUAAGUCAGUUGUGAAAGUUUGCGGCUCAACUGUAAAAUUGCAAUUGAUACUGGCAGUCUUGAGUACAGUUGAGGUAGGCGGAAUUCGUGGUGUAGCGGUGAAAUGCUUAGAUAUCACGAAGAACCCCGAUUGCGAAGGCAGCUUACUAAACUGUGACUGACAUUGGUGCUCGAAAGUGUGGGUAUCAAACAGGAUUAGAUACCCCGGUA
Molecule: ribosomal RNA, 467 nt
Filed under: uncultured bacterium
Lineage: Bacteria
Description: bacterial SSU rRNA
Rfam family: Bacterial small subunit ribosomal RNA
Source: RNAcentral